AGGUCAAGAUAUUAAGAGCACAGGGUGAAUGCCUUGGCACUGAGAGCCGAUGAAGGACGUGGUAAGCUGCGAAAAGCUACGGGGAGUUGCAAGCAAACAUUGAUCCGUAGAUGUCCGAAUGGGGAAACCCGGCUAGAGUAAUGUCUAGUCACUAUGCACUGAAUACAUAGGUGUAUAGGGGGAACGUGGGGAACUGAAACAUCUAAGUACCCAUAGGAGUAGAAAGAAAAAUCGAUUUCCUAAGUAGCGGCGAGCGAACGGGAAAGAGCCCAAACCGCAUCCUUCGGGAUUCGGGGUUGUGGAUGAUCAACAACGUGAUGGAGGUAGCUUAGUAGAAGAGGUCUGGAAAGGCCCACCAUAGAGGGUGAUAGUCCCGUAAACGAAAAGCGAAGACCCACAGAUUAUUCCAGAGUACUACGAGGCACGUGAAACCUUGUAGGAAGCAGGGAGGACCAUCUCCCAAGGCUAAAUACUACUCAGUGACCGAUAGCGCAUAGUACCGUGAGGGAAAGGUGAAAAGAACCCCGGGAGGGGAGUGAAAUAGAACCUGAAACCCUGUGUUUACAAGCAGUGGAAGUUCGUUAAGGAACGACCACGUACUUUUUGUAGAACGGGCCAACGAGUUACGUUACGCAGCAAGGUUAAGGUGUUCAGCACCGGAGCCGCAGGGAAACCGAGUCUUAAUAGGGCGAAUGAGUUGUGUGGCGUAGACCCGAAACCAGGUGACCUAUCCAUGAGCAGGUUGAAGCGCAGGUAAGACUGCGUGGAGGACCGAACCCAUAUCUGUUGAAAAAGGUUGGGAUGACUUGUGGAUAGCGGAGAAAUUCCAAUCGAACCUGGAGAUAGCUGGUUCUCCCCGAAAUAGCUUUAGGGCUAGCCUUGAUAUUAGUGACGCGGAGGUAGAGCACUGAAUACUCUAGGGGCUUUCACCGGCUACCGAAAGUUAUCAAACUCCGAAUGCCGCAGUCAUAUGAUCAGGAGUCAGACUAUGGGUGAUAAGAUUCAUAGUCAAAAGGGAAACAACCCAGACCAUCAGCUAAGGUCCCAAAGUGUGGAUUAAGUGGGAAAGGAUGUGGGAUUGCACAGACAACUAGGAUGUUGGCUUAGAAGCAGCCAUUCAUUUAAAGAGUGCGUAAUAGCUCACUAGUCGAGUGAUCCUGCGCCGAAAAUUACCGGGGCUAAAAUCCACCACCGAAGCUAUGGCUUAACAGUUUACUGUUAGGGGUAGGGGAGCAUUCUGUACGGGUAGAAGCGGUAUCGCGAGGAGCCGUGGACUGUACAGAAGAGAGAAUGUUGGCAUGAGUAGCGAAAGGCGGGUGAGAAUCCCGCCGGCCGAAAACCUAAGGUUUCCUGAGGAAGGUUCGUCCGCUCAGGGUUAGUCAGGACCUAAGCCGAGGACGAAAGUCGUAGGCGAUGGACAACAGGUUAAUAUUCCUGUACCACCAAGAAUCGUUUGAGAGAGGGAAUGACACAGGAGGUUAGGCGAGCGCACUAUUGGAUGUGCGUCCAAGCAGCGAGUGAGAGAAGAUAGGCAAAUCCGUCUUCUUGUUAAUUGUGAGCUGUGAUGGGGAGUGAAAAAUAAGUAGCGAAGUCGUUGAUAUCACACUGUCGAGAAAAGUUUCUAUCGAGAUUUAAGGUGCCUGUACCGCAAACCGACACAGGUAGGUAAGUAGAGAAUACUAAGGCAAGCGAGAUAACUAUUGUUAAGGAACUCGGCAAAAUGACCCCGUAACUUCGGGAGAAGGGGUGCCUCACCAGGUUCAGAGCUAGGUGGGGCCGCAGAGAAUAGGCCCAAGCGACUGUUUACCAAAAACACAGGUCUCUGCUAAAUCGAAAGAUGACGUAUAGGGGCUGACGCCUGCCCGGUGCUGGAAGGUUAAGGGGACUAGUUAGAGCAAUCGAAGCUAUGAACCGAAGCCCCAGUAAACGGCGGCCGUAACUAUAACGGUCCUAAGGUAGCGAAAUUCCUUGUCGGGUAAGUUCCGACCCGCACGAAAGGCGUAACGAUUUGGGCACUGUCUCAACAAUGGGCUCGGUGAAAUUGUAGUACCGGUAAAGAUGCCGGUUACCCGCAGCAAGACGGAAAGACCCCGUGGAGCUUUACUGCAGCUUGGCACUGGAUUUAGGUAUAGCAUGUACAGGAUAGGUGGGAGACUGAGAAAUAUGUACGCCAGUAUGUAUGGAGUCAACGUUGGGAUACCACUCUUGCUAUAUCUGUGUCCUAACCGUGUGGUGUUAUCCACCAUCGGGACAAUGUCAGGUGGGCAGUUUGACUGGGGCGGUCGCCUCCUAAAGAGUAACGGAGGCGCUCAAAGGUUCCCUCAGUGCGGUUGGAAAUCGCGCGAAGAGUGCAAAGGCAAAAGGGAGCUUGACUGCGAGACUUACAAGUCGAGCAGGUACGAAAGUAGGACUUAGUGAUCCGGCGGUACCGUAUGGAAGGGCCGUCGCUCAACGGAUAAAAGCUACCCCGGGGAUAACAGGCUUAUCUCCCCCAAGAGUCCACAUCGACGGGGAGGUUUGGCACCUCGAUGUCGGCUCGUCUCAUCCUGGAGCUGAAGCAGGUUCCAAGGGUUGGGCUGUUCGCCCAUUAAAGAGGCACGCGAGCUGGGUUCAGAACGUCGUGAGACAGUUCGGUCCCUAUCUGCUGUGGGCGUAGGAAAUUUGAGAGGAUCUGUCCUUAGUACGAGAGGACCGGGAUGGACAUACCUCUGGUGUAUCUGUUGUUCCGCCAGGAGCACUGCAGAGUAGCUAUGUAUGGAAGGGAUAAGUGCUGAAGGCAUCUAAGCACGAAGCCUCCCUCAAGAUGAGAUUUCCCAUACCAUAAGGUAGUAAGACCCCUUGUAGACCACAAGGUUGAUAGGUCUGAGGUGUAAGCGCAGCAAUGUGUUCAGCUGACAGAUACUAAUAGGUCGAGGUCUUGACCCAAAA
Molecule: ribosomal RNA, 2928 nt
Filed under: Fusibacter sp. A1
Lineage: Bacteria; Bacillati; Bacillota; Clostridia; Eubacteriales; Fusibacteraceae
Description: 23S ribosomal RNA
Rfam family: Bacterial large subunit ribosomal RNA
Source: RNAcentral